Long non-coding RNA from Dermochelys coriacea (leatherback sea turtle), 688 nucleotides. RefSeq lists it as uncharacterized. The transcript has 3 exons. NCBI's taxonomy places the organism in Eukaryota, Metazoa, Chordata, Testudines, Dermochelyidae. The record is from RefSeq and is a predicted model, not a curated record.
GAGAUGUCAGUGGAAGCCAUGCUGUUGGAGGAACUGAACAGUACAAACCAUUCAGGUGCAAAGAAGGAGGUCCUGAGGGCUGACCAUCCACAUAAGAAGGUGACGGUACAGCUAGCAUAAGGAACUUACAAAGGAUUCCUUGCCUGAGAGAACUUGGAUAUUGAUGUGCUACGGAGAGAAGCCCUAUUCCAACCGCUGGUUCCCAUAUCCUGGUCCUUGACUCUGGCUCUAACCACUAGACGUUGCCACCUGCUGCUCUGAUCACCCAUGUCUGACCUAGAUCUGACCACCCAUGCUCCAGUCGGUGACCGGUACAGCAGCAAAAGAUGUAAAGAGUAAUAUUUGUAUUGUCUGUGGAUAUGGACUGAAGGAGAUUCCAAUGCACUGAUGUAGUGCAUAUUGAAUAUAUACCUAGAAUCAGUCGUGUGGAGUGCCAGGAUGCACUCAAACUAGCCGUUGGAGGCUGCACAAAUUGCAUCCUGCUGGCUGCAAAUGGAGAGGGAUGAGAAGAUUUGGCCCUUAACAUGGAAGAGGAAAAGAGUGGGCUAAGAAGAUUAAGUUUAUAUUUUUCCUGGAGCCAAUCAAAACAGUGAUUACACGAGGUAAAGUUAGGUAGGUGUAUUGACUUUAUGUUGGUUGGUUACUUGUUUCCCUCCCAUCAUCAUUAAACAGCAUAGAGAGAUUUAUU